GCCCCUGUAGUUCAAUGGAUAGAACGGCUCCCUUCUAAGGAGUAGAUCCAAGUUCGAUUCUUGGUGGGGGCACCG
This 75-nucleotide transfer RNA is filed under the name Candidatus Giovannonibacteria bacterium RIFCSPLOWO2_01_FULL_46_13. RNAcentral's name for it is "tRNA-Arg". It matches the Rfam family "tRNA". From Rfam's summary of the family: Transfer RNA (tRNA) molecules are approximately 80 nucleotides in length. Their secondary structure includes four short double-helical elements and three loops (D, anti-codon, and T loops). The record is from RNAcentral. Lineage: Bacteria; Candidatus Giovannoniibacteriota.